This 449-nucleotide ribosomal RNA is filed under the name uncultured bacterium. Its description in RNAcentral is "bacterial SSU rRNA". It matches the Rfam family "Bacterial small subunit ribosomal RNA", at positions 328 to 793 of the family's 1533-position model. The record is from RNAcentral.
UUCCCAGACUCCUACGGGAGGCAGCAGUGGGGAAUAUUGCACAAUGGGGGGAGCCCUGAUGCAGCGACGCCGCGUGAGUGAAGAAGUAUUUCGGUAUGUAAAGCUCUGUCAGCAGGGAAGAAGAAAGACGGUACCUGACCAAGAAGCCCCGGCUAACUACGUGCCAGCAGCCGCGGCAAUACGUAGGGGGCAAGCGUUAUCCGGAUUUACUGGGUGUAAAGGGAGCGUAGACGGCAGGGCAAGUCUGGAGUGAAAGGCAGGGGCCCAACCCCUGGACUGCAUUUGGAACUGUGCGGCUGGAGUGUCGGAGAGGCAGGCGGAAUUCCUAGUGUAGCGGUGAAAUGCGUAGAUAUUAGGAGGAACACCAGUGGCGAAGGCGGCCUGCUGGACGAUGACUGACGUUGAGGCUCGAAAGCGUGGGGAGCAAACAGGAUUAGAUACCCGGGUAA